This 87-nucleotide transfer RNA is filed under the name Alloprevotella sp. oral taxon 473 str. F0040. RNAcentral describes it as "Prevotella sp. oral taxon 473 str. F0040 tRNA". It matches the Rfam family "tRNA". From Rfam's summary of the family: Transfer RNA (tRNA) molecules are approximately 80 nucleotides in length. Their secondary structure includes four short double-helical elements and three loops (D, anti-codon, and T loops). Lineage: Bacteria; Pseudomonadati; Bacteroidota; Bacteroidia; Bacteroidales; Prevotellaceae. The record is from Rfam by way of RNAcentral. RNAcentral also lists the same sequence under 3 other names.
GGAAGGUUGGGUGAGUGGCUGAAACCACCAGUUUGCUAAACUGACGUACGGGCAACCGUACCGGGGGUUCGAAUCCCCCACCUUCCG